Molecule: long non-coding RNA, 771 nt
Filed under: Cricetulus griseus (Chinese hamster)
Lineage: Eukaryota; Metazoa; Chordata; Mammalia; Rodentia; Cricetidae
Description: lncRNA (ENSCGRG00000025977.1)
Source: RNAcentral
CAGGACAAGGCCGAGGUGGGUUCUACUCCUGAAUCCAUGUUCCUUUUUCCCUCGUCCUUUACAGGUUGACCCCGAAAUCUUUUGACUCCACACACUGCUGGUACCCUGCUACAGCUAGCUGACUGUGGACUGCUGGAGCUGGUGCACACACUGCUGGCACCCUGCUACAGCUAGCUGACUGUGGACUGCUGGUACUCGUGGAAAGACUUUCUGAGGAUUUCAAACCACGAGUCUCCGCAUUCAGGAGAUUCAUCUCAAAGAAUCUGAUGAUGGCAAUAAUGAAAUAGCACUGACUGUUUUAGCUCAAGGGCGUGGAUAAGCGCUAAGUCCUAGAGCUGAAGGGAUUUUGAGCUGCUAGAUCAGAGAAAACCUUGGAUAUCUACAGCACAGUCUGGGAGUUGACAUGGAAGUUGAAAAACGGAAAGUCUGAAUCAAAAGAGCAUCUCAAGGAUUUGCUAGGAACUACCAAACAGAAUGGACACUUCCCAAAAUACAUCAUUUCAGCAAUGAAAGACUAGCAGGCUUGAGAUUGACAAGGGUUUCUCUGUGUUAUAGUCCUGUUUGCAUCAAGCUUUCGCCUCUGCCUGGUGAUUGGGGUGACCACGGUCCUGGGCUGAGACCCCAGAGGCCUGAGCUUUCCGGGGGUCUUACAUUUGGGGGCUUGUCCAGGAUUUGCGACCACCCCUCAUCUGAGUGGAUUCUAUCUUGGAGGUAAGAUGAUUUGAGCUCGCAACUUAUAUGUUCAUUGUUAUGUUCAUGUUUGUUUUGUUG